AUACGGAGGGUGCAAGCGUUAAUCGGAAUUACUGGGCGUAAAGCGUACGUAGGCGGCAAGUUAAGUUAGAUGUGAAAGCCCCGGACUCAACCUGGGAACUGCAUUUAAAACUGGCUUGCUAGAGUUGAGUAGAGGGGAGUGGAAUUUCAGGUGUAGCGGUGAAAUGCGUAGAGAUCUGAAGGAACACCAGUGGCGAAGGCGACUCCCUGGACUCGAACUGACGCUGAGGUACGAAAGCGUGGGUAGCAAACGGGAUUAGAAACCCUAGUAGUCC
Molecule: ribosomal RNA, 274 nt
Filed under: uncultured bacterium
Lineage: Bacteria
Description: partial 16S ribosomal RNA
Rfam family: Bacterial small subunit ribosomal RNA
Source: RNAcentral